This 169-nucleotide non-coding RNA is filed under the name Bordetella sp. RNAcentral's name for it is "SAH sequence". It matches the Rfam family "SAH (S-adenosyl-L-homocysteine) riboswitch aptamer". RNAcentral also lists the same sequence under 1 other name. Lineage: Bacteria; Pseudomonadati; Pseudomonadota; Betaproteobacteria; Burkholderiales; Alcaligenaceae. The record is from RNAcentral.
ACGCCUGAGGAGCGUUGCGACGGGGAAGGCCGCAGCCAGGCCGAUGCGCAGGACCAUGCGCGCGGCAAUGUGCAUGGCAAGCAUGCACGGUGUGUGUCCCCCGCCAGGCUCAGGCUCAAGUUCGGCUGUCCAUGCAUCGCGUGGCGGCAUGCAACGGCGCUCACCUUUG